Molecule: ribosomal RNA, 497 nt
Filed under: uncultured bacterium
Lineage: Bacteria
Description: partial 16S ribosomal RNA
Rfam family: Bacterial small subunit ribosomal RNA
Source: RNAcentral
GAUGAACGCUGGCGGCGUGCCUAAUACAUGCAAGUCGAGCGAACAGAUAAGGAGCUUGCUCCUUUGACGUUAGCGGCGGACGGGUGAGUAACACGUGGGUAACCUACCUAUAAGACUGGAAUAACUCCGGGAAACCGGGGCUAAUGCCGGAUAACAUUUAGAACCGCAUGGUUCUAAAGUGAAAGAUGGUUUUACUAUCACUUAUAGAUGGACCCGCGCCGUAUUAGCUAGUUGGUAAGGUAACGGCUUACCAAGGCAACGAUACGUAGCCGACCUGAGAGGGUGAUCGGCCACACGGGAACUGAGACACGGUCCAGACUCCUACGGGAGGCAGCAGUAGGGAAUCUUCCGCAAUGGGCGAAAGCCUGACGGAGCAACGCCGCGUGAGUGAUGAAGGUCUUCGGAGCGUAAAACUCUGUUAUUAGGGAAGAACAAAUGUGUAAGUAACUGUGCACGUCUUGACGGUACCUAAUCAGAAAGCCACGGCUAACUACGUG